CCUACGGGAGGCAGCAGUAGGGAAUCUUCCGCAAUGGACGAAAGUCUGAUGGAGCAACGCCGCGUGAGUGAAGAAGGGUUUCGGAUCGUAAAGCUCUGUUGGUAGUGAAGAAAGAGAGAGGGAGUAACUGGCCUUUAUUUGACCGUAAUUUCUUAGAAAGUCACGGCUAACUACGUGCCAGCAGCUGCGGUAAUACGUAGGUUGCAAGCGUUGUCCGGAUUUAUUGGGCGUAAAGCGAGUGCAGGCGGUUCAAUAAGUCUGAUGUGAAAGCCUUCGGCUCAACCGGGGAAUUGCAUCAGAAACUGUUAAACUGGAGUGCAGGAGAGGAAAGUGGAACUCCAUGUGUAGCGGUGAAAUGCGUAGAUAUAUGGAAGAACACCAGUGGCGAAGGCGGCUUUCUGGCCUGCAACUGACGCUGAGGCUCGAAAGCUUGGGUAGCGAACAGGAUUAGAUACCCCAGUAGUC
RNAcentral lists this ribosomal RNA (465 nucleotides) under uncultured bacterium. RNAcentral describes it as "partial 16S ribosomal RNA". It matches the Rfam family "Bacterial small subunit ribosomal RNA", at positions 338 to 795 of the family's 1533-position model. The record is from RNAcentral.